Molecule: ribosomal RNA, 253 nt
Filed under: uncultured bacterium
Lineage: Bacteria
Description: partial 16S ribosomal RNA
Rfam family: Bacterial small subunit ribosomal RNA
Source: RNAcentral
UACGUAGGGGGCAAGCGUUGUCCGGAAUUAUUGGGCGUAAAGAGCGCGUAGGCGGUCCGAUAAGUCGGCUGUGAAAGUCAAGGGCUCAACCCUUGAAAGCCGGCCGAUACUGUCGGACUAGAGUCCGGAAGAGGCGAGUGGAAUUCCCGGUGUAGCGGUGAAAUGCGCAGAUAUCGUAAGGAAGACCAGUGGCGAAGGCGGGUCUCUGGACAGUUCCUGACGCUGAGGCACGAAGGCCAGGGGAGCAAACGGG